Molecule: transfer RNA, 86 nt
Filed under: Bacteroides fragilis
Lineage: Bacteria; Pseudomonadati; Bacteroidota; Bacteroidia; Bacteroidales; Bacteroidaceae
Description: tRNA-OTHER
Rfam family: tRNA
About the family: Transfer RNA (tRNA) molecules are approximately 80 nucleotides in length. Their secondary structure includes four short double-helical elements and three loops (D, anti-codon, and T loops).
Source: RNAcentral
GGACGGUUAGCUUAUCGGUUAGAGCUUCGUGUUGCGCAACCAAUUCAAAACGAGUGGGAGGGGUUCGAUUCCUCUACCGUCCACAA